CCUACGGGUGGCAGCAGUGAGGAAUAUUGGUCAAUGGCCGGAAGGCUGAACCAGCCAAGCCGCGUGAAGGACGAAGGUGCCAAGCAUUGUAAACUUCUUUUGUCAAGGGACAAAAUCAGGCUCGAGAGCCUGACCGAGGGUACUUGAAGAAAAAGCAUCGGCUAACUCCGUGCCCCCAGCCGCGGUAAUACGGGGGCUGCGAGCGUUAUCCGGUUUUCUUGGGUUUAAAGGGUGCGUAGGCGGACUGUUAAGUCAGCGGUAAAAGCCCGGGGCUCAACCCGGACGAGCCGUUGAAACUGGCGGUCUUGAGAUGUCGAGAGGUAUGCGGAAUGCGCAGUGUAGCGGUGAAAUGCUUAGAUAUUGCGAAGAACUCCGAUUGCGAAGGCAGCAUACCGGCGGUGAUCUGACGCUGAGGCACGAAAGCGUGGGUAUCGAACAGGAUUAGAGACCCGUGUAGUC
RNAcentral lists this ribosomal RNA (459 nucleotides) under uncultured bacterium. Its description in RNAcentral is "partial 16S ribosomal RNA". It matches the Rfam family "Bacterial small subunit ribosomal RNA", at positions 338 to 795 of the family's 1533-position model. The record is from RNAcentral.